AUUGAACGCUGGCGGCAUGCUUUACACAUGCAAGUCGAACGGGGUGGAGGGGCAACUCUCCAUUCAGUGGCGAACGGGUGAGUAAUGCAUCGGAACGUGUCCCGUAGUGGGGGAUAACGCCGCGAAAGCGGCGCUAAUACCGCAUACGCUCUACGGAGGAAAGCAGGGGACCUGAAAGGGCCUUGUGCUAGGGGAGCGGCCGAUGUCCGAUUAGCUAGUUGGUGGGGUAACGGCCUACCAAGGCUGCGAUCGGUAGCUGGUCUGAGAGGAUGAUCAGCCACACUGGGACUGAGACACGGCCCAGACUCCUACGGGAGGCAGCAGUGGGGAAUUUUGGACAAUGGGGGCAACCCUGAUCCAGCCAUGCCGCGUGCGGGAAGAAGGCCUUCGGGUUGUAAACCGCUUUUAGCCGGGAAGAAAAGGCGCGGGCUAAUACCCCGUGUUUUUGACGGGUACCGGGCGGGAAUAAAGGCACCCGGCUAAACUUACGUUGCCCAGCCAAGCCGCGGUAAUACGUAGGGGUGCGAGCGUUAAAUCCGGAAUUACUGGGCGUAAAGCGUGCGCAGGCGGUUCGUUGUGUCGGUGGUGACAGCCCCGGGCU
Molecule: ribosomal RNA, 601 nt
Filed under: uncultured bacterium
Lineage: Bacteria
Description: bacterial SSU rRNA
Rfam family: Bacterial small subunit ribosomal RNA
Source: RNAcentral